RNAcentral lists this ribosomal RNA (433 nucleotides) under uncultured bacterium. RNAcentral's name for it is "partial 16S ribosomal RNA". It matches the Rfam family "Bacterial small subunit ribosomal RNA", at positions 29 to 507 of the family's 1533-position model. The record is from RNAcentral.
AACGAACGCUGGCGGCAUGCCUAACACAUGCAAGUCGAACGAGACCUUCGUGUCUAGUUGCGCACGGGUGCGUAACGCGUGGGAACCUUCCCUUAGGUUCGGAAUAACUCCCCGAAAGGGGUGCUAAUACCGGUUAAUUUCUUCUGACCAAAGGUUUAUCGCCUUUGGAUGGGCCCGCGUUGGAUUAGCUAGUUGGUAGGGUAAAAGCCUACCAAGGCGACGAUCCAUAGAUGGUCUGAGAGGAUGAUAAGCCACACUGGGACUGAGACACGGCCCAGACUGCUACGGGAGGCAGCAGUGGGGAAUAUAGGAAAAUGGGCGAAAGGAUGAUCCAGCAAUGCGGGGUGAGUGAUGAAGGCCUUAGGGUAGUAAAGCUCUUUUACACGGGAUGAUAAUGACAGUACCGGGAGAAUAAGCACCGGCUAACUACGUG